RNAcentral lists this transfer RNA (85 nucleotides) under Planctomycetota bacterium. Its description in RNAcentral is "Planctomycetes bacterium (anaerobic digester metagenome) tRNA-Leu". It matches the Rfam family "tRNA". Rfam says of the family: Transfer RNA (tRNA) molecules are approximately 80 nucleotides in length. Lineage: Bacteria; Pseudomonadati; Planctomycetota. The record is from RNAcentral.
GCGGCCGUGGCGGAAUUGGCAGACGCGCAAGGUUCAGGUCCUUGUGCCCGUUCAGGGCGUGAAGGUUCGACUCCUUUCGGCCGCA